Molecule: ribosomal RNA, 871 nt
Filed under: uncultured archaeon
Lineage: Archaea
Description: bacterial SSU rRNA
Rfam family: Archaeal small subunit ribosomal RNA
Source: RNAcentral
CAGCCGCCGCGGUAAUACCGGCAGUUCGAGUCGCAGCCACAUUUAUUGGGUCUAAAAACAUCUGUAGCUUGUUAUGUAAGUCUUCUGUGAAAUCCUAUAUCUCAAGUAUAGGGCGAGCAGGAGAUACUGCAUAGCUAGAGUCCGGAAGGCGUAAGGAGAACGUAUGGGGUAUCGGUAAAAUGAGUUGAUCCUAUGCGGACUAACGAUAGCGAAGGCACCUUACGAGUACGGUUCUGACAGUCAGAGAUGAAGGCUAGGGUCGCGAAAGGGAUUAGAUACCCCUGUAGUCCUAGCAGUAAACACUGCACACUAAACAUUGGUAUCUCUUCGUGAGGCAUCAGUGCUGUAGGGAAGCCGUAGAGUGUGCUACCUGGGAAGUAUAGUCGCAAGGCCGAAACUUAAAGGAAUUGGCGGGGGGGCACUACAACGGGUGACGCGUGCGGUUCAAUUAGAUUCUACACCGUGAACCUCACCAGGAGCGACAGCAGAAUGAAGGUCAGUCUGAAGGGCUUACCUGACACGCUGAGAGGAGUUGCAUGGCCGACGUCAGCCUGCGUCGUGAGAUGACCUGUUAAAUCAGGUAACAGGCGAGACCCAUGUGUAUAGUUACUUCGUAGAAGCACAUUAUACAGACUGCCGUGGUAACACGGAGGAAGGUAUGGGCUACGUUAGGUGAGUACUGCCCGAAUCCCCUGGGCUGCACGCGCGCGUCAAUGCUGCAUUCAAAAGGAUGCAACUCUGAAAAGAGAAGCUAAUCCUCAAUAUCCAGCUUAGUUUAGAUUGAAGUUUGCAACCCAGCUUCAUGACACUGGAAUCCGUAGUAAUCGUUUAUUAGCAGUGAACGGUGAAUAAGUCCCUGCCCCUUGCACAC